CAGAGUAUUGAUGGCGGCUCACAGUUUGCUCCCGGAUAUGUACUGCAACACAUUUGAUGGGGUCUGAUCGGACUUUUUGCAUACAUGGCCAGUUAUCCAAGGUCUUGAGAUUAACGUCGAAACCGCACAAGAGUCGUGAAUCCAAACAGGAACAAUUUGUUGACUGAUCUAGGGCUAGCUAGCCUCUGGUCGCAACGGUUUGUUUGUGUGCGUGGCUGCACAUUUUAGGACAGCGGGAAAAAAAUCGACGUUAGACAUUUUUAUGUGAUUUUGUGGCACUGGCUGGCUAGUGUAUCGGAUUCCGUGUUUGCUAGUUUCUCCUGUCUGACUAACGCCGCUUGCGUUACUUCAGAAAGCAGAGGGAAGUGGUUAGCCGACCUGAUUAGCUGUAACCGUAAUAGUUCAAGCUCGUCUGAAGUCAGUGGUCUCAAGUGGAUGGUUUGAGUCUUUUCUAUGUUUCACCGUUGCCCUCAGCUGUCAGCAUGUUGAAAACACGUCAGUGUUUACUGGGGAUCCGCACUUUCCUUGGAGUCACGUCCAGAAUAUGGAGUUUCAUCUUAUACAUCCUCCGGAAACAUCUACGGACGAUAAUCCAGUACCAAACAGUGCGUUAUGACACAUUACCUCUCUCCCCUGUUUCCAGAAACAGACUUAAUGCAGUGAAAAGAAAGAUCUUAGUGUUGGAUCUAGAUGAGACUUUGAUUCACUCUCACCACGAUGGCGUCCUUAGACCAACAGUGAGGCCUGGUACGCCUCCAGACUUUAUCCUGAAGGUGGUAAUAGACAAACACCCUGUCAGGUUUUUUGUCCAUAAAAGGCCACAUGUCGAUUUCUUUUUAGAAGUGGUUAGUCAGUGGUAUGAGUUGGUAGUGUUUACAGCUAGUAUGGAGAUAUAUGGAGCAGCUGUAUCAGAUAAGCUUGAUAACAACAGGGGUAUCCUUAAAAGAAGAUACUACAGACAGCACUGCACUUUGGAUCUAGGGAGCUACAUAAAAGAUCUGUCUGUAGUACACAAUGAUCUCUCAAGUAUAGUUAUUCUGGACAACUCGCCUGGAGCUUAUCGAAGUCACCCAGACAAUGCAAUACCUAUAAAGUCAUGGUUCAGUGACCCAAGUGACACAGCACUUCUUAACCUGCUUCCAAUGUUGGAUGCAUUGAGAUGAUAAAGAAGAUGAGGAUUAACCCAGUGCAAGAGAAAGAAAGAAAAUGACUGACAGCACUACGCAAAUGAAUUUGCUUCCAUCAUAUACAAUAUAAGCAUAAAACACUUUGGUUGUAUCUGUUUCUAAAGAUGAUGAUGAAGAUGAGGAUUAACACACAACGCAAUGAUUGACAGCAAAACGCAACUAUAUUCCUCUUAAACAUACAAUAUAUACAACAUGCUGUGUUUACCUCAGAUGUUCGCUCCGUCCUCAGUCGAAACCUCCACCAGCAUCGGCUCUGGUGAUUGUAUUUUGUUUUUACAUGACUCUACACGCUCAGUGUUGACCUCUUCUUUGCUGGAACUGUGAGCCUCUCAUCAUUAUGUCUACAUUCAUAUGGACUUAAGCUACAGUGAUUCAUAUGGACUCCUCUGAGGAAAUGCUAGGAGAAGACAUCGGAGGACAUAAAGCAGAGACAAAGACAUAAUGGGGAAGCUAUUACAAAUAAACUCAAAUCAAACGGAGAGGCCCACAUUUCUUUCUUAUGCUUAAACAAUGAUGGAAACUCUGCCUUGCAGUUGUUGGAUACGACGUGUGCAUGUUGUUUUUCUGUGCGAAUAGGGGCGGAUGCUUGGGAUUUCUGCUUUACCUGGCGUUUAGGGUAAAUCAAGAAAUCUGUGAACAGGCUACUACUUCCAGUCACUUUCCACAGUUCAUUAGCACUUAGUUCCUCAUUUUUGUUCAGUAUGACCCCAGCAGAAGUGGUCAAUUCAUCAAUUUUCUCUCUCUCUCUUGCUUUCUCUCGCUCUCUCUUUCUCUUGCUCUCGCGCUCUCUCUCUCCCUCUCUUGCUCUCUUUUUUUGUCUGCCAUCUCAGGUCUAUGUUAUAAGCUGGAGAGCUGUUAACACCAUUACUAAUAGUAUCCAAUGGUACAGAAAAUCUUUAAGAUCACCAUAGGGAAAACAAAAGUUCAUUAUUACCAUUAUUACAGCUUAUGGUAUUUUCUGUGUUUUCUAUUGGCUCAUAUGUGGAAUCUUGGAUAAAUAAGUAAGGUUUUAUCAUCUGUUCUAAAGACACUUUUUUAGACACUUUUCAAUAUGGAUACAGCAGUGAUAGAGGGAGAGAUGCUAAGCCACAAGGACUCUAUACAACAAAAUAAAAUGGAGCCUUUCUCAACAACUGACUUGACCAUCUCUUUCACUUUUUUGGGGCAUUUUACAUAUUUAAAUGGGUGAAUUUUAUAGG
This is an RNA transcript of Paramisgurnus dabryanus, 2386 nucleotides long. It is a transcript of the gene named CTD nuclear envelope phosphatase 1a, with no coding region annotated. The record is from RefSeq and is a predicted model, not a curated record. Lineage: Eukaryota; Metazoa; Chordata; Actinopteri; Cypriniformes; Cobitidae.